This 292-nucleotide ribosomal RNA is filed under the name uncultured bacterium. RNAcentral describes it as "partial 16S ribosomal RNA". It matches the Rfam family "Bacterial small subunit ribosomal RNA", at positions 505 to 796 of the family's 1533-position model. The record is from RNAcentral.
GUGUCAGCCGCCGCGGUAAUACGAAGGGAGCUAGCGUUGUUCGGAAUCACUGGGCGUAAAGCGCACGUAGGCGGAUUUGCCAGUCAGGGGUGAAAUCCCGGGGCUCAACCUCGGAACUGCCUUUGAUACAGCAAGUCUUGAGUUCGAGAGAGGUGGGUGGAAUUCCUAGUGUAGAGGUGAAAUUCGUAGAUAUUAGGAAGAACACCGGUGGCGAAGGCGGCCCACUGGCUCGACACUGACGCUGAGGUGCGAAAGCGUGGGGAGCAAACAGGAUUAGAAACCCCCGUAGUCC